AGAGGGAUUUGGCUGCAACUUUGGUCACCCCAUUGAUUGUCAGGGUUAUCUGGCUGAUCUGGUGGAUAGGCAGUUGUUCCUCCCUGCUCCAUAUAUGUUCCACUUGACAAUGAGCACUUGGUGGAGAAGGACAACCAUCCCGGAUAGAGGAGAGAACAUUAUUCUUUAGACAAGAGUAUACCAUAGCUGUGUUUAUCUGCUAGAAUCUCCGAAUGAGCCUNUAAGCAGUUCCAGUGGGUCAUUUUAGGCAUUUUUUUCACAUUAGGAAUGCAGCCUUGCACCUUGUUGUACUCUGUGUUUCC
This 302-nucleotide small nuclear RNA is filed under the name Salvator merianae (Argentine black and white tegu). RNAcentral describes it as "7SK RNA (ENSSMRG00000019162.1)". It matches the Rfam family "7SK RNA". Rfam says of the family: 7SK was discovered as an abundant small nuclear RNA in the mid-70s but a possible function has only recently been suggested. Two independent studies have found that 7SK RNA binds the CDK9/cyclin T complex (known as elongation factor P-TEFb). P-TEFb activates transcription by phosphorylating the C-terminal domain of RNA polymerase II. Lineage: Eukaryota; Metazoa; Chordata; Lepidosauria; Squamata; Teiidae. The record is from RNAcentral.